GAACCGGUGUCCAGGGACAAUGAAUAGGGUGGUCAGACUUUUAAAUUUCUGGGUUUCUGCACGAAAGAGACCGUCAGGCCUGCUCAAGAACCACAGAAGCUCUCUCCCUCACCCCUCCCCCUCCGGCCUUCUAACUGCCCGGCCCCGGCGUCGAUCUUCCGGAAAGGAGUCUGCAACCCUGUCCUACCUCAGGCUCUGCCUCCUGGGCGUCCCUGAGGCCAGCUUGGAGACUAGGAACACCAGUGAGCGAGGAACUCAGGACACUGCUCCCCACACCCUCCGGCUAUGCUUCACGGAGCACUCACCAACCACGCUUUGAAAUACCAGCCCCGGCAGCCACGGUAGGAGCGAUCACUCGGAGUACAGAGAACGCUCGGCCCGGGGCCUGCGAGGACACGCCCUGCGCGCGACCCCGCCCCGGGCGCAGCCCCGCCCACGGCCGGCCUGGGCAGGCAAGUCCUAACUGGUUUGGUGCUAAGGCGCGCGCCAGAGAGACCUGUGGGUCUGUAAAGUUAGUUUAAAGGUGCCCCGUUUGUCAUCAAAAGCCCCAACUCGCCCAGAGACAGAGGAGCUAGACCAGAGGUAGAACCCAGGUGGGGAGCGAAGAGGUGGGGAAGGUGGCACCUAGCCCACCAGAGGUCCAGAACUGAGGUCAAGACCAGUUUCUCUAGUCUAAGCCGGGAGAACCACUCUAAAGCUGCAGGUUCUAGCGGCUGAAGAAAUGCUAGAGGGGAAACUCCAGAUACAGUGUGGAGGGUGCCAGAAGAUUCCAUAGAGACAUGAGGGCCCUGCGAGAGGUGCCCAGUGUGGGUGGCAUAUGGUCUGGCUAGGAACUGUGCCAAAGGAUGAUGGAUAAAGGACCUGGACCAGAAAGCUAGCUGACCACGGAGGCACGGUCACCACCCCACCAACCGCUCCAGUGUUCCUCGGGACCGGAGGUCCAUCCUGGCCGGAAGCCGCGCUGCCGCCAGGCUCCAGGGAGUCCAGACGAAAGGCAGCGGGUGGGCCCACAGGCAAAUCUCAUCCACGCACGUCUGGGCUAGCUGCCUUCACCCGAGGAACACAGCCGUUCCAGACAGAGAUGCGUGCGAUGGCUGCUCUACACAGCGCUCGGAAGGUGCGACCACUGGAGCUAGGGGCCCGGGGUUGGGGGUGGGGAAGCCCAGAGGGCGCGGCGCUGGGACCCCAGUCGCGGGACCUGCGAGCAAAUAAAUGCCUACCUGCGAGCCGCGCCGCCGCACCUGCCGCAGGCGGGCCGCUCCUCCCGGAAACGCGCGCGGCGCGCCCCGCCCCUGCCUGGACCCCGAUAGCCCGCGAGGGGCGCGUACCCAGAGCGACCUUGCGGCCUUACAGGCCCGGAGACCCCGGGAUAGCACGUCCGGGUGGAUCCUCCACCAGAGCGCUGCUGUAGUUUUGUCCCGCCUCUCUUAUCCUGGUGACCCGACCCAGAGUGGCUAGCUCUCCCCGGAGAGCCACAGGGGGCAGCAAAGUUGUAUCCCUCACUCCCACCAUCUCCCCAGCUCCCCCCAAGACCCUUUUAGAACAAAAUCAAGGCUGGGGAGGUGCAGAUGCCAACCCCCACCCCGCCCGGAGUAUCCAGACUUAGGGUGCCAAGAAGUGUUGUGUAGGAAAAUGCGGAGCAGGAAAUAAACCAAAUACUUUCAGUGGCUGUA
Molecule: long non-coding RNA, 1673 nt
Filed under: Mus musculus (house mouse)
Lineage: Eukaryota; Metazoa; Chordata; Mammalia; Rodentia; Muridae
Description: predicted gene 10575 (Gm10575)
Source: RNAcentral